UGCUGUCCAACCACCUACACCAAGGCCCCAGGCACAGGGACAGUGCCUCCCAGCUGAGCUCCCCAUCUGCCCUCCUCAGCUGCAAGCGAGAUGGUUUCUUUUCAAGCUGAACUCCUUCGAUUUCCUCAGGGAGACCUUAAUCCACCGAGCUGUGAUGGACUGAAGGCGGGUGCUGUGGUGAAUGGUGAGGGUUAGCAAGGGGCUGGGUGUAGCUGAGGCUGAGAUCCCCUUGCAGAGCACUCACGGCCAUGUUGUGCACUGGACUGCCAGCUCUCCAGGAUGAGGCCCAUUUGUUGGCUCCCACCUGAGUACAGCUCUGGUUUCCAUUAGAUCCUCUGGUUUGAGUCCCUCCAUUAUGUUCACUAUGGCAUCACCUGUUAGGAACUUUUGAAAGUCUUCAUUCAAAGAGUUCUGUUCCCCGUGUCACAUCAGCAAGAGACUCCUGUUUCCCAGGGUGAUUGGUGCAGACUGUCUGGAGGCAUUGACUUCUUA
Long non-coding RNA from Neopsephotus bourkii (Bourke's parrot), 492 nucleotides. RefSeq lists it as uncharacterized. The transcript has 3 exons. Lineage: Eukaryota; Metazoa; Chordata; Aves; Psittaciformes; Psittacidae. The record is from RefSeq and is a predicted model, not a curated record.